AUGGAAUUGUUUUGCAGUUGUCAAAAAAAUGAAGCAGAAAAAAGGAGAUAUGUCAACAGCUCUUUCUUCUCCUCCAGGGAUUUCAUGUGCAGUCCUGCCUUAACCCUGGUUGCCUUCCUUGUUUCCUGCAACCAUGUCUUCUCACUGUAUUUGGUACCACACCUAGAGGAGUCCCUUGAAACCAGUGGAGGGUCCACAGGAGCUGAAGGUGACGUGCCUUCUUUACCUACCCUCUCAUCAUACCAGCUGGCCUGUUUCAAUGGGGAGUCUGCCUGGCACCAGCGGGGCUUUCAUCAGCAAGCGUAGGACCCCUGGUGAGCAGUUGGACAUCAGCUGAUUAGAAUGUCAAGGAGGAGAUCCAACUCUAAGCUACCUGAAGCUGUCUUCCGGAGGAAGUGAAGGAACUGCCAAGUGAGAGAUACCGAAGCCUUGAAUGGGUUACAUUGUGUCUCCCCACCAAAAAAUGUUCAAGUCUUAAUCCUCGAUACCUGUGCAUGUCACCUUUUUUGGAAAUAGUGCCUUUGCUGACGAUCAAGUUAAGAUGAGGUCAUAAGGGUGAGCUCUCUAUCAGUAUGACUGUGUCCAUAUAAAGAGGGGAAAUUUUGGCCAGGCUCGUUGGCUCAAGCCCGUGAUCCCAGCAUUUGGGAGGCCGAGGCGGGUGGAUCACGAGGUCAACAGAUCGAGACCAUCCUGGUCAACAUGGUGAAAACCCGUCUCUACUAAAAAUUACAAAAAAUUAGCUGGGCACAGUGGCGUGUGCCUGUAAUCCCAGCUACUCAGGAGGCUGAGGCAGGAGAAUUGCCUGAAACCAGGUGGCAGAGGUUGCGGUGAGCCAAGAUCGUGCCAUUGCACUCCAGCCUGGGUAACAAGAGCAAAACUCUGUCUCAAAAAAAAAAAAAGGGGGGGGGGGACAUUUUGAGACGAGACAGACAUGCACACAGGGAGAAUGCCACAUGAAGGAGAAAGCAGAGAUCAGUGUGAUGCAUCUGCAAGCCCAGCAAUGUCAAUGAUUGCCAGCAAACCACCGGGGGCCAGGAGGGAGGCAUGGGGCGGAUUCUCUUUUGCAGCCCUCAGAAGAAACCAACCCUACUGACACCUUGAUCUGGACUUCUGGCCUUCAGAACUAGAAGGGACAACACAUUUCUGUUGUUUAAGUUACCCACUUUGUGGCGCUUUCUUGUGGCAGCUCAUGUUUACUAAUCCUGCGGGGUACAGUAAAGUGAGGACAACCCUCUCCUUGCCAACUGUGUGACCUUGACAAGUUACCUACUCUCUCAGAGGUAUGCAACGGAGUUUUUGUUUUUGCUUUUGAGACAGGGUCUCACUCUGUCACCCAAGCUGGAGUAUAGUGUGCUAUCGCAGCUCGCCGCAGCCUCAAGCUCCUGGACUCAAGCAAUCCUCCCACCUCAGCUUCCCAAGUAGCUAGGGCUACAGGCAUGCACCACCACGCCGGCUAAUUUUUUUUUUUUUUAGAGACAGGGUUUCAUCAUGGCUGUGAUGGAGGUGACACCAGUGACUACCGCAGGAGGUUCAGUGAGCUGUUCAUGACACAUAAAUGCUCAACAUAUCACAAAUGUG
This is a long non-coding RNA of Callithrix jacchus (white-tufted-ear marmoset), 1578 nucleotides long. NCBI's taxonomy places the organism in Eukaryota, Metazoa, Chordata, Mammalia, Primates, Cebidae. The record is from Ensembl.